This is a long non-coding RNA of Sorghum bicolor (sorghum), 3696 nucleotides long. RefSeq lists it as uncharacterized. The transcript has 4 exons. The record is from RefSeq and is a predicted model, not a curated record. NCBI's taxonomy places the organism in Eukaryota, Viridiplantae, Streptophyta, Magnoliopsida, Poales, Poaceae.
CUCACACCCCCACGGCCCACGCACACCCGGCCUCGCCUCUCCGCUCCAUCCCCUCCCGUACUCCUGGGAGCAUCGCCGCCGCCAACGCAGCGGCUUGGAGAAGCCAUUAGCCAUGGCGGCUCAUGCGACGAUCUCCUUCUCCUACUACUACAAAAUAACCAAGUGACAGUGUGACGCCACGCGCAGAGCGACCAUGGCCCUGCGUGGUGCUACUGCCGUAGAUCUGCCCCACUGCACAUUCAGUCCCUCAGCACUCCACAUCCACGUUCUGCUUCGCCGUCUCAUCAGCUGCUAGGUUUUGGCUGCCGCCAUGGCGACGACGAGGGCCCUGAGAAGACCCCGUCCAUCCCCGUUCCUCGCGCUCCUCCGCCCUACCCGCUCCAACUCUACGUCGCCCUUCCCGCCCCUCGCGAUCCAAUCGAGAGGGUUGGAUAGGGCGUAAUAGGCAUCGUCAUGUGCGUCACAGGUGCCAGUGCCUUUAUCGGAUCAUGGAUCGUCAAUUUUCAAUCGUGGGUACAGUGUCCGCGGCAACUCCGGCGUAGGAAAACCUUCACUUUUAGAUAUGCCAAUUUCAAUCUCACGGAUCCUCUUCAGCCCCUAUGGAGAUUUUUCUAUGAAGACCAAAUGAGUUUAUUUUGAGCAUGCGUUAUAAGCUUGCAGUCCUCUCAAAAUCAUACAAUAGCAACACUCUAGAAACAGGUUGGAAAUUGUUGCCUAAAUCUAUUAUUUGGCGGAAGAUUCAAUUAAUAUGUUUGAGAGGUAAUGUUUAUUGAUUUGGUGUUCACUUUGGCAGUUGGCAUCUAUAGUGUUCAUCUUUAAAAAAAGAUUGUCUAAAUGGUUGUUGGAUUUUUCUCACAUGUUGUUUGAUUAGUCUUAUCAUACUCCUUGAUAAUUAAAUUUAGUUUCUUCUAUGAGAAGCUAUUACAGCUUGGGGUCCAGCCCUAAAUAGCAUAUGUAUCACUUUCUUUUGGUAUGAGAAAUAAUCAUUAAGGGAACAAAAGGUACACAUUGUUUUGGUCUAAAAAUUACUGACAUGAACACAUUUUAUCAUUGGUUAUGGUCUAACAUUGCAAAAUUAAGUAGGCUUCAUUUGCUUUGACAAAAAUGAAAUUGCCAAAUCCUAAAUAAUGGCAAUAAUAGGAACAUUUAGUUUAUGUUAUAAUAGGAUGUCCUGUGGGUGGAUCUCUGCAAGUUCUAUGUCAUUUAGUAGGAAAAUGAUUUUUCAUAUGUAGGAGCCUUUCAAUUUGGACAUUAUAUCGAGCUUCCAUCGCUAGCUAGCAAGAGCAAAAGGGGAAAAUUAAAAUCAUCAAUGGUGUGUGAUCAGACCCUUGAUUCUCAGGUACUGUUUAGUUUGUUGUUCAUGUCCAAAACACCAUACUUGAAUAUUUGAACUAAUUUGAAACUUUGAACCUCUUUCAUAAAUAGUUAGGAUCAUGAUCAUAGCACUAAUUCUGUUCUGAAAUUCUCUACUACAAUAGAAAUAUUGUGUAAAAAUCAGAAUUCUUGCCACAACUUGUGGAAUUAAGGAAGAAAGGAUGGUAGGCAUCCUCUUGCCUUUAAUUUGUUGGGUGUCAGUUUGAUCUAUGAAUGUUCAAUCCAUGGGGGAAAAUAAAUGUCUUUAGUUAUCUCAAUUAACUGUAGCUAUUUGUUGCUGCUUCUCAGUGCCUGCAGUUGUCCAUUGAGUAAACUUUUUAAGAUAACAAAAGGGGCUCAGUGUACCACUUAUCUUAGGCUGACACAUUCAAUUGGUUUUUCAUCUUGACUUGAGUUGUAGUUUAAAAAAAUAUGUGAUCUGUAUAUAGCUACAGUUCAGUAAACAAUUAAAGAAUGUCCAUUGAGUAAACUUUUUAAGAUAACAAAAGGGGCUCAGUGUACCACUUAUCUUAGGCUGACACAUUCAAUUGGUUUUUCAUCUUGACUUGAGUUGUAGUUUAAAAAAAUAUGUGAUCUGUAUAUAGCUACAGUUCAGUAAACAAUUAAAGAAUAAAUUUAUUUAGUAAUAAUAGGUAUAUAGCUAUAAUUAAAGAAUAAAUAUAUAUAGCUUCAGGGGCCUGCAACAGUCAGCACCUUCACUGAAAUAGGAAAGCUGGCAGAUGUUUUACAUAUGAGAUGGACAUGCUCCCUUUCUCUUGAUGCAGCAAGAUUUAAUGGCACAAUAUGAAAACUUACUAUUUCAAAAUAUGCAGUUCCACUAUCGUCUCUGCACCCUGCUUAUCUGCUCCUAUUUAUUGAUUAUUCAAAAUGAAGGUGUUUGUUGAUUAGCCAUGUAAAUUUAUUAUUUUAUAAAUACUAUACAGAUUAUUGUGGCCACAUUGAAAGUUGUCGAAUCUCUCUAGAUCAUAUAUUAUUGUUGAACUAUUUUCCUAUAUCUGAUCAUGUCAUCUUUAGUUUAGACAAGGGAAUAGUUGGUUUAGCAUGAACUAUGAUUAUUUUAGUAGAUGAAUGACUCAAGAAGUGGGCUCUCUUCCCUAGGAAGGGUUUGGCAAGGCAAGCUACCUCCAGAACAUUCAGAUCCAAGUGCCACCGUUGUCAUCAGCUCUUCACUGCCUUGCACCCUUGCCUCUUCUGUAGACAGACCCAAUGCCAUGAUAUACACCGGUUCCUGCUCCUUUGCUGUAAAGCCACCAUAACAGACGCCUCCUACGCCUCCCAGAGACAAACCCAUCCCAGCACCUAUGCACUUCCAAGGUCAGCUUGCUCUUAUAUCCAAUAAUACACUGCCUGCUGGGAAUGGGAGUUUAGGAAGAAGAUUUCUUGGCAAAUUAUCUAUAUUAUUCUACAUUGAUUAAUUGUGGUUAUAUUGCUAAUUUGAUUUCUCUACUCUUUCUGUUCAGACCAUAGCCAGUUCGAGAAGAGGAGGGAAAAUUUUGCCAAAGAGAAUGGUAUUGUUAUAGUUGAUUUUGAACACCCAUCUAUCUGUGCCGAUCUAUAUCCUCCAGCUUGCUUCAUUAUGCCUUUGUUUUGAUAGUAGUUCUCAAUUGAUGGCUUUAGCUUGUUAGUUGGGAAAAACAAUCUGCAGUUCUGCACUGUCAUUUCAGCAAAAACUAUAUAAAGUUUGGAACUGUCAUCAAUGGCUUUGUCUUUUGAAUUGAGAAGGAGCUGCUGAUCAAAUUAACCAUGAGUAAAAGUUUUUCUACAGAAGAUUAGCUACCAAGCCGGACUAUACCCAUCUCAGUGAUGUUUAUGAAUGAUGGUAAGAUCUAUGAUGUUGGACAACUUGCCCCUCCGUUGUGUGAAGAUAAAGCUUUGCUGAAAUGGGGCUGAAGUGAGAGACAAAUAAUAUUUUUUUACUUAUUACUAUAUUUGCUUCACAAGGCAAGAAGUGGGUAUGGUUGCCACUGGAUCGCUCAGAGUAAAUUCCAUUAGAAGUAAGGUUAUAGUAAUGAAAUGAAACUAUAAAUGGGAGUUGUUCAUCUGCCUCAUGACUCAUUUUGAUCUCAAACAAGUGACCUCAUUUUAAUCUGAGACAAGUACUUGUCUGUUAGUAGUAGAUAGUCAGUAGUAGAUAUAUGAUGUUAAUGUAUUGGAUCCCUGAAGAGCCCUAAUUGUCCGUUGCAAGUGCUUAUCGCCUUGAAGUUGGACACUCGUAUAUUUUGAUAAAUUGAUGUUGUCUUUUCAUGAUUUAUUGAUGAGUAUGUAAACAAGAUGCUCAUAGAUUAGCCAAACAGGCUCGACAAUUUGAUUCUGAGUGUUGUA